GACGAACGCUGGCGGCGUGCUUAACACAUGCAAGUCGAACGGAAAGGCCCUGCUUUUGUGGGGUGCUCGAGUGGCGAACGGGUGAGUAACACGUGAGUAACCUGCCCUUGACUUUGGGAUAACUUCAGGAAACUGGGGCUAAUACCGGAUAGGAGCUCCUGCUGCAUGGUGGGGGUUGGAAAGUUUCGGCGGUUGGGGAUGGACUCGCGGCUUAUCAGCUUGUUGGUGGGGUAGUGGCUUACCAAGGCUUUGACGGGUAGCCGGCCUGAGAGGGUGACCGGCCACAUUGGGACUGAGAUACGGCCCAGACUCCUACGGGAGGCAGCAGGGGGGAAUAUUGCAGAAUGGGCGGAAGCCUGUUGCAGCAACGCCGCGUGCGGGAUGACGGCCUUCGGGUUGUAAACCGCUUUCGCCUGUGACGAAGCGUGAGUGACGGUAAUGGGUAAAGAAGCACCGGCUAACUACGUG
RNAcentral lists this ribosomal RNA (468 nucleotides) under uncultured bacterium. RNAcentral's name for it is "partial 16S ribosomal RNA". It matches the Rfam family "Bacterial small subunit ribosomal RNA", at positions 28 to 507 of the family's 1533-position model. The record is from RNAcentral.